RNAcentral lists this ribosomal RNA (433 nucleotides) under uncultured bacterium. RNAcentral's name for it is "partial 16S ribosomal RNA". It matches the Rfam family "Bacterial small subunit ribosomal RNA", at positions 29 to 507 of the family's 1533-position model. The record is from RNAcentral.
AACGAACGCUGGCGGCAGGCUUAACACAUGCAAGUCGAACGGAUCCUUCGGGAUUAGUGGCAGACGGGUGAGUAACGCGUGGGAACGUACCCUUUGCUACGGAAUAACUCAGGGAAACUUGAGCUAAUACCGUAUGUGCCCUACGGGGGAAAGAUUUAUCGGCAAAGGAUCGGCCCGCGUUGGAUUAGCUAGUUGGUGGGGUAAUGGCCUACCAAGGCGACGAUCCAUAGCUGGUCUGAGAGGAUGAUCAGCCACGCUGGGACUGAGACACGGCCCAGACUCCUACGGGAGGCAGCAGUGGGGAAUAUUGGACAAUGGGCGCAAGCCUGAUCCAGCCAUGCCGCGUGAGUGAUGAAGGUCUUAGGAUUGUAAAGCUCUUUCACCGGUGAAGAUAAUGACGGUAGCCGGAGAAGAAGCCCCGGCUAACUUCGUG